UGGCGUCUCGCGUCGUCCCAGACUCUGCACCGCUCCCGCUGGCGCGACUCGGAGCAGACGUCGCAGCGGGCCAAGCCCCGUCACUCUGGGGACACGAACACGCUGGCAGCCCGCGCCCCUCUCCUGCGACCUGGUCGCGGGAAAGGGAACUAGCAACUACUCCCCGUUCUGAGGUCAUUCCCCCCCUGCCCCCACCUCCGGAAGAGCCGCCCUUCUCCGUUGGCGGGGCGGGGUGGGGGAGGGACGGGGGACGGGGACGGACGACUUUGCGGGGCCACGGCUCCGCGCCUUUCCCGCGUGGCGUCGGAGAGGAGCGUGGGAGGGUUUCCCGUCCAAGGCCUGGCCACACUCUCCACUUUUCCAGGCCUCGGACUUGAACCUCGUGGACUAUGGAGCAGAGGAGGACACUUCUUCGGGCCCCUCUGGGGAGGAGGGGUACCGAAGUCAGGCAUUCUCAAGGGCUCCGGCGAAUGGCCAAGUUUGUGUCCUUUCCCUCCCACGCUGGAGUAGCGCUCGCCACUUUGGGGAAGCGUGAGACUCCUCAUCCCCGGCCACGAGGCCAUCCCUGUCUUCAAGGUGGGGCCGAUGGUCUCUCUUCAGCACCCUCUCCCGCUCUGCGGCUCCCGCACCGCUCCUACAGUCCGGGGAGGCCCCCAGAGACGGCCCGCGCCUUCUCUCGCCCGCUCUUCCGGGGGGGGAGGCGCGUGGGUCGUGUGCCCUACGACUCCAGCCCGCAGCCUCCGCGGAGCCGCCUCGGCAGCCCUCCCCGCCCGGAGUCGCCCUGCGGGAUGCAGCCUCCCCCACGCGUAAUGAGGCACCCCUGGGACGCAGGCAGGGAUGGCGGUUCCGGUCGUUCCGGGAUUUGCGUGCAAGAAGAAAACAAGGCCGGCGACUACAGGAGCGGCGCCUCCAUUCUUGAGGCUUCUGCUCGGGGUCAGGCAGCCUGGAACUGCAUUUGAAAUGAUUCUGAACAUAUAACAGGAAAGGAGUGUACACCCACCAAACAAG
This 1008-nucleotide long non-coding RNA is filed under the name Sus scrofa (pig). Its description in RNAcentral is "lncRNA (ENSSSCG00070001059.1)". The record is from RNAcentral. Lineage: Eukaryota; Metazoa; Chordata; Mammalia; Artiodactyla; Suidae.